CUGUGGCCUGGCGUUGGGAGAAGAUGUGUGAGGGUCAGUGCUGGUCGUGGGCGAGAAGGAAAAGGUGCAGCCUGUGCUCUCACUGGUCGGGCGCGGGGAGACCGUCGAGCAGGCAGCGUGGCUGCUGAGGGCCUUGGACGGGUGCGGAGGCGUUCCACGGGUCUCGGGAGGCUGGGGUGAGGAACGCGUGUCUGGUCGAAAGGGUGACAGGCUCGGGUCCCUCCUUGUGCUCUUCCCUUGGGUCUUCUGGAUCUGAGGCCCCAGACCAAAUCUGCUUGCUGACCAUUUAGCACAUUAAGCGUUAUCUGCGCGCUUCCACGGCCACGUCCACACUCCAGCCACGGCAGCAAGUCACUGUGAUGGAGACGACGUGGCCUGCAAAGUCCAGGCACAUGUUGUGUCUGGCCCUGGGCAGAGAGUGCCCAGCCCCAGGACGUCUAGGCCGUCAGCGGUGGUGCCAACUCUCAGCCAUCACCCCUUGUCCCCGCAGAAGAAAAGGCAGUAAAAGACGAACCGAUGUGUGAAUGAAGACAAAGAUGAUGUUGAAAGUGGCCCAUGAAACGGAGACCAGACAAAAGCGUAAAAGCUAAGGCGCCGUUAGAAAACAACAGGCCAGGGUCCGAGCCCAGGCCUCUGUGUGAAUCCUUCCUCUGUAAGUGCCUGGGCAGUGCCAGGGCCCCUGGCCAGGACGGAGGCCUCGAGGGCCGAGGAAUCCCUCGCAUCCGGCCUGUGACAUGCACACACUCCCUUCUUCUCGUCUGUGGUCGUGUCGCUGCUAAACUGGGCUGAGAAAAUCCAAGACAUGCAGGCUGCCGCGUGCCGAAAAAGCCAGACCCGCCUUGGUCUUGUUAUGGUACUGAGUCUGAGGAGGAAGAAAACGUCUUUGGGAACUUUGCAUAAACUUAAACGUGAGGGUCUUUGCCGUUUGCGAGGGUCGCCAUGGAGACAAGAGCGUGCGAUCAGCACGGCGACCCCUGUCAGCAUCCUCCCGCUGAAACUCCUACGUGUAACAUUAGGUGUGGCUGCUGCUGUGAAAAGACCGAGUGUGAAUGCGUGCACUGUCCUGAUGACAGUGGUGUUGAAUGGUAAGCUGACACCGUGCAGAUUCCCGCAGAGCUGACAUCUGGCCCUGCCCCGCUGCCUCCGCACGGGUGGGACAUCCUUGGGCGGCUCGCUCUUUGUUUCCUCCUGGGUCUCCGGCCUCCUUCGAGGGAGCCUCCCUGUGUCUUUGCUUUUUAGGGCUGCCUGGAGCUUCCUGCAGCUUCCUUGAAGGACACUCCGUGAGUUCGGUUGCUUCGUAUAAGAGAAAAGAAUCAUAUGCUUUCGUAACGACUCCCAUACAUAGUUAAGAGCAGUAAUUUUGGUAGAUAACUGCCUUCGAAACAAGGCAAGCCUUCUUCCCUAACACGCGAAGUCGCAUCGCAUAACCUGCCGCACACUCUGUCUCUAGAAUGGAUCUGUAUUUAGAAAUAAAGGAUUCCCAAAUGUGUGACA
RNAcentral lists this long non-coding RNA (1494 nucleotides) under Sus scrofa (pig). RNAcentral describes it as "lncRNA (ENSSSCG00065035244.1)". The record is from RNAcentral. Lineage: Eukaryota; Metazoa; Chordata; Mammalia; Artiodactyla; Suidae.